AUUGAACGCUGGCGGCAGGCCUAACACAUGCAAGUCGAACGAGUGGCGGACGGGUGAGUAAUGUCUGGGAAACUGCCUGAUGGAGGGGUCUAACUACUGGAACCGGUCGCUAAUACCGCAUACCAUCAUAUGUGCCCCGAUGGGAUUAGCUUGUUGGUGUGGUAACGGCUCACCAAGGCGACGAUCCCUAGCUGGUCUGAGAGGAUGACCAGCCACACUGGAACUGAGACACGGCCCAGACUCCUACGGGAGGCAGCAGUGGGGAAUAUUGCACAAUGGGCGAAAGCCUGAUGCAGCCAUGCCGCGUGUAUGAAGAAGGCCUUCGGGUUGUAAAGUACUGUCAGCGGGGAGGCGUUACCCGAAGAAGAAGCACCGGCUAACUCCGUGCCAGCAGCCGCGGUAAUUC
Molecule: ribosomal RNA, 406 nt
Filed under: uncultured bacterium
Lineage: Bacteria
Description: partial 16S ribosomal RNA
Rfam family: Bacterial small subunit ribosomal RNA
Source: RNAcentral